CGUGCCCGGCUCUAUACAUGCAGUCGAACGAGGUGCUUUUGUAGCAAUACGGAAGUAUCCUAGUGGCGAACGGGUGAGUAACGCGUUGGUGACCUACCCCGAAGUGUGGGAUAACAGUCCGAAAGGAUUGCUAAUACCGCAUGUGGUCCCCGGGUUUAGAAACCGGUGACUAAAGCAGCAAUGCGCUUUGGGAGGGACCUGCGUCCCAUCAGCUAGUUGGUGAGGUAACGGCUCACCAAGGCGUCGACGGGUAAGGGACCUGAGAGGGUGGUCCCUCACAAUGGCACUGAAACACGGGCCAUACACCUACGGGUGGCAGCAGUAGGGAAUAUUGGGCAAUGGGCGAAAGCCUGACCCAGCAACGCCGCGUGUACGAUGAAGGCCUUCGGGUCGUAAAGUACUUUUCUGGGAGAUGAGAAAGGACAGUAUCCCAGGAAUAAGCUUCGGCUAACUACGUGCCAGCAGCCGCGGUAAAACGUAGGAAGCGAGCGUUAUCCGGAUUUACUGGGCGUAAAGCGCGUGUAGGCGGUUUGAUAAGUUGGAUGUGAAAUCUCCUGGCUCAACUGGGAGGGGUCGCUCAAAACUAUCAGACUAGAGGACAGUAGAGGAAGGUGGAAUUCCCGGUGUAGUGGUGAAAUGCGUAGAUAUCGGGAGGAACACCAGUGGCGAAAGCGGCCUUCUGGACUGUAUCUGACGCUCAGACGCGAAAGCUAGGGGAGCGAACGGGAUUAGAGACCCCGGUAGUCCUAGCUGUAAACGAUGUAGACUUGGCGUCGGUGGGUUCAAAGCCAUCGGUGCCGAAGCUAACGCGAUAAGUCUACCGCCUGGGGACUACGGCCGCAAGGUUAAAACUCAAAGGAAUUGACGG
Molecule: ribosomal RNA, 868 nt
Filed under: uncultured Chloroflexota bacterium
Lineage: Bacteria; Bacillati; Chloroflexota
Description: bacterial SSU rRNA
Rfam family: Bacterial small subunit ribosomal RNA
Source: RNAcentral